Molecule: ribosomal RNA, 30 nt
Filed under: uncultured bacterium
Lineage: Bacteria
Description: partial 16S ribosomal RNA
Source: RNAcentral
CCGGAAGGUGCGGUGCGGUGGAUCACCUCC